Molecule: ribosomal RNA, 148 nt
Filed under: uncultured bacterium
Lineage: Bacteria
Description: partial 16S ribosomal RNA
Rfam family: Bacterial small subunit ribosomal RNA
Source: RNAcentral
CAUACUGCGGUGAAUACGUUCCCGGGUCUUGUACACACCGCCCGUCACACCAUGGGAGCCGGAAAUGCCCGAAGCCAGUGACCCAACCUUAGGGAGGGAGCUGUCGAAGGUGGAGCCGGUAACUGGGGUGAAGUCGUAACAAGGUAAC